GAUGAACGCUGGCGGCGUGCCUAAUACAUGCAAGUCGAGCGAACGGACGAGAAGCUUGCUUCUCUGAUGUUAGCGGCGGACGGGUGAGUAACACGUGGAUAACCUACCUAUAAGACUGGGAUAACUUCGGGAAACCGGAGCUAAUACCGGAUAAUAUUUUGAACCGCAUGGUUCAAAAGUGAAAGACGGUCUUGCUGUCACUUAUAGAUGGAUCCGCGCUGCAUUAGCUAGUUGGUAAGGUAACGGCUUACCAAGGCGACGAUGCGUAGCCGACCUGAGAGGGUGAUCGGCCACACUGGAACUGAGACACGGUCCAGACUCCUACGGGAGGCAGCAGUAGGGAAUCUUCCGCAAUGGGCGAAAGCCUGACGGAGCAACGCCGCGUGAGUGAUGAAGGUCUUCGGAUCGUAAAACUCUGUUAUUAGGGAAGAACAUAUGUGUAAGUAACUGUGCACAUCUUGACGGUACCUAAUCAGAAAGCCACGGCUAACUACGUG
Molecule: ribosomal RNA, 497 nt
Filed under: uncultured bacterium
Lineage: Bacteria
Description: partial 16S ribosomal RNA
Rfam family: Bacterial small subunit ribosomal RNA
Source: RNAcentral